UUAAGCGACUAAGCGUACACGGUGGAUGCCCUGGCAGUCAGAGGCGAUGAAGGACGUGCUAAUCUGCGAUAAGCGUCGGUAAGGUGAUAUGAACCGUUAUAACCGGCGAUUUCCGAAUGGGGAAACCCAGUGUGAUUCGUCACACUAUCAUUAACUGAAUCCAUAGGUUAAUGAGGCGAACCGGGGGAACUGAAACAUCUAAGUACCCCGAGGAAAAGAAAUCAACCGAGAUUCCCCCAGUAGCGGCGAGCGAACGGGGAGGAGCCCAGAGCCUGAAUCAGUGUGUGUGUUAGUGGAAGCGUCUGGAAAGGCGCGCGAUACAGGGUGACAGCCCCGUACACAAAAAUGCACAUACUGUGAGCUCGAUGAGUAGGGCGGGACACGUGGUAUCCUGUCUGAAUAUGGGGGGACCAUCCUCCAAGGCUAAAUACUCCUGACUGACCGAUAGUGAACCAGUACCGUGAGGGAAAGGCGAAAAGAACCCCGGCGAGGGGAGUGAAAAAGAACCUGAAACCGUGUACGUACAAGCAGUGGGAGCCUCUUUAUGGGGUGACUGCGUACCUUUUGUAUAAUGGGUCAGCGACUUAUAUUCUGUAGCAAGGUUAACCGAAUAGGGGAGCCGAAGGGAAACCGAGUCUUAACUGGGCGUUAAGUUGCAGGGUAUAGACCCGAAACCCGGUGAUCUAGCCAUGGGCAGGUUGAAGGUUGGGUAACACUAACUGGAGGACCGAACCGACUAAUGUUGAAAAAUUAGCGGAUGACUUGUGGCUGGGGGUGAAAGGCCAAUCAAACCGGGAGAUAGCUGGUUCUCCCCGAAAGCUAUUUAGGUAGCGCCUCGUGAAUUCAUCUCCGGGGGUAGAGCACUGUUUCGGCAAGGGGGUCAUCCCGACUUACCAACCCGAUGCAAACUGCGAAUACCGGAGAAUGUUAUCACGGGAGACACACGGCGGGUGCUAACGUCCGUCGUGAAGAGGGAAACAACCCAGACCGCCAGCUAAGGUCCCAAAGUCAUGGUUAAGUGGGAAACGAUGUGGGAAGGCCCAGACAGCCAGGAUGUUGGCUUAGAAGCAGCCAUCAUUUAAAGAAAGCGUAAUAGCUCACUGGUCGAGUCGGCCUGCGCGGAAGAUGUAACGGGGCUAAACCAUGCACCGAAGCUGCGGCAGCGACACUAUGUGUUGUUGGGUAGGGGAGCGUUCUGUAAGCCUGUGAAGGUGUACUGUGAGGUAUGCUGGAGGUAUCAGAAGUGCGAAUGCUGACAUAAGUAACGAUAAAGCGGGUGAAAAGCCCGCUCGCCGGAAGACCAAGGGUUCCUGUCCAACGUUAAUCGGGGCAGGGUGAGUCGACCCCUAAGGCGAGGCCGAAAGGCGUAGUCGAUGGGAAACAGGUUAAUAUUCCUGUACUUGGUGUUACUGCGAAGGGGGGACGGAGAAGGCUAUGUUGGCCGGGCGACGGUUGUCCCGGUUUAAGCGUGUAGGCUGAUUUUCCAGGCAAAUCCGGAAAAUCAAGGCUGAGGCGUGAUGACGAGGCACUACGGUGCUGAAGCAACAAAUGCCCUGCUUCCAGGAAAAGCCUCUAAGCAUCAGGUAACAUCAAAUCGUACCCCAAACCGACACAGGUGGUCAGGUAGAGAAUACCAAGGCGCUUGAGAGAACUCGGGUGAAGGAACUAGGCAAAAUGGUGCCGUAACUUCGGGAGAAGGCACGCUGAUAUGUAGGUGAAGCGACUUGCUCGUGGAGCUGAAAUCAGUCGAAGAUACCAGCUGGCUGCAACUGUUUAUUAAAAACACAGCACUGUGCAAACACGAAAGUGGACGUAUACGGUGUGACGCCUGCCCGGUGCCGGAAGGUUAAUUGAUGGGGUUAGCGGUAACGCGAAGCUCUUGAUCGAAGCCCCGGUAAACGGCGGCCGUAACUAUAACGGUCCUAAGGUAGCGAAAUUCCUUGUCGGGUAAGUUCCGACCUGCACGAAUGGCGUAAUGAUGGCCAGGCUGUCUCCACCCGAGACUCAGUGAAAUUGAACUCGCUGUGAAGAUGCAGUGUACCCGCGGCAAGACGGAAAGACCCCGUGAACCUUUACUAUAGCUUGACACUGAACAUUGAGCCUUGAUGUGUAGGAUAGGUGGGAGGCUUUGAAGUGUGGACGCCAGUCUGCAUGGAGCCGACCUUGAAAUACCACCCUUUAAUGUUUGAUGUUCUAACGUUGGCCCCUGAUCGGGGUUGCGGACAGUGUCUGGUGGGUAGUUUGACUGGGGCGGUCUCCUCCUAAAGAGUAACGGAGGAGCACGAAGGUUGGCUAAUCCUGGUCGGACAUCAGGAGGUUAGUGCAAUGGCAUAAGCCAGCUUGACUGCGAGCGUGACGGCGCGAGCAGGUGCGAAAGCAGGUCAUAGUGAUCCGGUGGUUCUGAAUGGAAGGGCCAUCGCUCAACGGAUAAAAGGUACUCCGGGGAUAACAGGCUGAUACCGCCCAAGAGUUCAUAUCGACGGCGGUGUUUGGCACCUCGAUGUCGGCUCAUCACAUCCUGGGGCUGAAGUAGGUCCCAAGGGUAUGGCUGUUCGCCAUUUAAAGUGGUACGCGAGCUGGGUUUAGAACGUCGUGAGACAGUUCGGUCCCUAUCUGCCGUGGGCGCUGGAGAACUGAGGGGGGCUGCUCCUAGUACGAGAGGACCGGAGUGGACGCAUCACUGGUGUUCGGGUUGUCAUGCCAAUGGCACUGCCCGGUAGCUAAAUGCGGAAGAGAUAAGUGCUGAAAGCAUCUAAGCACGAAACUUGCCCCGAGAUGAGUUCUCCCUGACUCCUUGAGAGUCCUGAAGGAACGUUGAAGACGACGACGUUGAUAGGCCGGGUGUGUAAGCGCAGCGAUGCGUUGAGCUAACCGGUACUAAUGAACCGUGAGGCUUAACCU
Molecule: ribosomal RNA, 2901 nt
Filed under: Escherichia coli
Lineage: Bacteria; Pseudomonadati; Pseudomonadota; Gammaproteobacteria; Enterobacterales; Enterobacteriaceae
Description: 23S ribosomal RNA
Rfam family: Bacterial large subunit ribosomal RNA
Source: RNAcentral